AAGGAUCAUAAGGACCAAUUCCUAAAGUCACUACAGAUCCAUACAUCAGUUGUUGUCUAUUCUUUCCUUUUCUUUCUCCUUUUUUUCUUUUUUAAUUUUCUUAAUAAUUAUAGCAUGUAUUUUAGAUGCUAGCAUCAAUUUUUCAACAUCCCCUCUUAAGUUGGUGGGUAUAGAAAAAACCCCAACUUGGUCAGUAAAUCAUGAUGAGAAGCUCUUGAUAAAGGCUUAGGAAAUAAGUUGGCAAGAUGAUGCUUCGAUGGGACAAAAGAAAGAGUGAUAAGGCAUAAAAGAUAUUAUUGACGAACGAAAUGGCAUUCCAACUCUACAUGCUUAUUUCGUUCAUGAAAGACCAAAUUUUUGGCAAUAUAAAGAGCAGCCUGACUGUCGAAAUAAAUAGGAAUCAGCAAAAUCGAUGGUGCGGAUCCAAGAGUCACACUAACCAUCUAAUUUUUUCAUUCACUCUACGCAUAGAUCUAUACUUUGCUUCUGCAGAAGAUAGUGACACCAAGACUUUCUUCUUUGAUUUCCAUGAAAUAGGUGCUCCUCCUAGAUUAACGUAAAAUCCACUUGCAGAUCUUCUUGUAUCCUUGCAGGAACCCCAAUCUGUGUCUCAAAAUGCCAACAAAUUAAAAGAUAGAUUAGCUGAGAGUAGGAUUCCUUAUGCCAGAUCUGCUCGAAGGCACCUCAAGACUCGAAGUGCUGCAUUAUAAUGAUGAAGACUAGGACUUUCUAUAAAUUAAUUUAAAAUCAGCACCACAAAUGAUAAAUCUAGUCGAGUAUGAGUGAGGUAGUUUAGUUUUCCAACCAGUUGUCUAUACAAAGUAGGAUUUUCUAAGAACGGGGAAUCAUUUUGAUGUAUAUUACAGGAAGGUUCCAAAUUACAGAAAAUUGAAGGUCCAGAUACAUCCUGCAACAGAUCCAUGAUAGAAAAGCUUUACUCUACUGGUUUGCCCAAACUUAUGGUCCAAGCCUACCCAUUAAUCUCUAGCUAUUUUGGAGUAUAUGACACUGCCCCUUAUGUCCCUUGAUACUGAAUUUAGUAUCCAAGAGGUAACCAUGUGAUUGCAUCGACUCCACUACUAGUAGGUUGGAUCGUUGGCAUCUGGUGGGGUUAGAGUUCCUUUGAUGAAGCCUAGCUUGUUCUUAGCUGAAAGUGCAUGAAUAAAGAUCUAUGCCAUCCUAGGAAACCUUUUCCAUCAAAUAGAGCAUUGACAAGGUUUUGUCCAGGAGCAUCUGAGGCUUGAAGGUGAUAAGGAUGAUUGACAUUAAUACAAUUUCCAUUCCCAAAUCCACUUCCAAAUUCGAUGGUGAUAGAGUUGAUGGAGUUGCUUGGGGUUUCAUCUCCCAUGGUGAUGAUGAUGAUGAUAAAGGUCUAGUGAUUAACAGGGAUUUUAAUGUAAUGGUUUGCUACAAGCUCGUUGGAUUAAUAUGAUCUCUCUGAUACCAUGAAAGAAAGAAAUAUGAAGAAUGAUUUGCGGAAAUUUUCCACACCUUUAUUCAUUUCCUUCAUGUGUAUAUGUACAAGUGUUUUGUGUAUAAACAAAAAUAAAAAAGAAAAUACUAUUUAAUUUGUCCUAUUUC
Capsicum annuum is the source of this 1581-nucleotide long non-coding RNA. RefSeq lists it as uncharacterized. NCBI's taxonomy places the organism in Eukaryota, Viridiplantae, Streptophyta, Magnoliopsida, Solanales, Solanaceae. The record is from RefSeq and is a predicted model, not a curated record. The transcript has 2 exons.